AUAAAGUGUUGGGGGGAGGGAGGGGUGUGCUUUAUUCAUGGGCUCAGAGAGAUCCUGGGUCACUGUAGGAAGGAUUGGAUUUCAGGCCUUUUGGACAGAACAUGGAGCUUAUGACUGAGUGGAAAGAAAUGCUCCAUAUCCAGAGAAUUGGGAUAGAAAAUGCCACAUGGUGUGUACCAUUCGGAAGUUCAUUUUCCAGAUGAAGAAACUGAGGCAAACAGGAUCAAGUGACUUGGCCAGAAUCACAGAGCUAGUAUAUGUCUGACUGGAUUUGAACUCAGAAGAUGAGUCUCCCUGACUACAGACCCUGCACUCUUUUCUACUGCACUACCAACAUCCUCGACUCAGACUCCACAAGAUACAAGAAGACAUUCAUUCCUGGGAUUUUACCAGUUGGAAUCUAUUUACAAGUUAGAGAUUACCUAAAAAAAUCAUUUUUUACCAUCCGUGUAUUCACUGGCAUCUGGUUAUCUAUGGGAACCCACCAUUAGAGAUGGAAAGAUAUGGUUCAUUUUCAAAGAGAACGCAUCAGAAGACAGAGUCAGUGAUGGUGUCAAGCUAUGUGCUUGCUCUGGGUGAUCCAUACUUUCCCUUUUUGCAUGCUUCGUGAGUCAAUCAACUUGGACUCCCUCACCUGGGCAUAAAUUCCCUUUAUGGAGCACUGUGAUUGCCCAACUCAAAUGCUACCUUCUCUGGGAAGUCUUUCCUGAUUGGCCCUCAGAUCUCACAUAGCACUUUUGGUUGGUACUUCCUUAAUAAAUUUGAUCAUAUAAAAUUCUUCA
This 782-nucleotide long non-coding RNA is filed under the name Monodelphis domestica (gray short-tailed opossum). RNAcentral describes it as "lncRNA (ENSMODG00000033633.2)". The record is from RNAcentral. Lineage: Eukaryota; Metazoa; Chordata; Mammalia; Didelphimorphia; Didelphidae.